RNAcentral lists this ribosomal RNA (253 nucleotides) under uncultured bacterium. Its description in RNAcentral is "partial 16S ribosomal RNA". It matches the Rfam family "Bacterial small subunit ribosomal RNA", at positions 524 to 776 of the family's 1533-position model. The record is from RNAcentral.
UACAGAGGGUGCGAGCGUUGUCCGGAAUCAUUGGGCGUAAAGGGCGCGUAGGCGGUUGGAUAAGUCUUGUGUGAAAUCUUCGGGCUCAACUCGAAGUCUGCACGAGAAACUAUCUGGCUUGAGUGUGGGAGAGGUGAGUGGAAUUCCUGGUGUAGAGGUGAAAUUCGUAGAUAUUGGGAAGAACACCGGUGGCGAAGGCGGCUCACUGGCCCGUAACUGACGCUCAUGCACGACAGCGUGGGGAUCAAACAGG